Molecule: ribosomal RNA, 460 nt
Filed under: uncultured bacterium
Lineage: Bacteria
Description: partial 16S ribosomal RNA
Rfam family: Bacterial small subunit ribosomal RNA
Source: RNAcentral
CCUACGGGAGGCAGCAGUGAGGAAUAUUGGUCAAUGGCCGUAAGGCUGAACCAGCCAAGUCGCGUGAAGGAAGAAGGAUCUAUGGUUUGUAAACUUCUUUUAUAGGGGAAUAAAGGUAUCCACGUGUGGAUAUUUGCAUGUACCCUAUGAAUAAGCAUCGGCUAACUCCGUGCCAGCAGCCGCGGUAAUACGGAGGAUGCGAGCGUUAUCCGGAUUUAUUGGGUUUAAAGGGUGCGUAGGUUGUUUUUUAAGUCAGCGGUGAAAGUUUGUGGCUCAACCAUAAAAUUGCCGUUGAAACUGGAAGACGUGAGUGUGUGUGAGGUAGGCGGAAUGCGUGGUGUAGCGGUGAAAUGCAUAGAUAUCACGCAGAACUCCGAUUGCGAAGGCAGCUUACUAAGCCAUAACUGACACUGAAGCACGAAAGCGUGGGGAUCAAACAGGAUUAGAUACCCUUGUAGUC